GAAGCAGGCCAGACAAUCGCUGGUUGCCGUGUUCACACGGUGACGGGAGGAAGGUCCGGACUCCAUAGAGCGGGGUGACGGCUAACGGCCGUACGUUGAAAGCCAAGGCGCAAGCUGAGGUAUAAGGCGAGGAAUAGGGCCACAGAGACGAGUCUUUGGGGAGUAGCGGGCGCAAGCCUAUGCUAAACCACAAAGGGUGAAACGCGGUAACCUCCACCCGGAGCAAUUUCAAAUAGGCACGCGUUGAGGUGGCUCGCUGAGCGUGCGGGUAGAAAGCUUGAGCGGCGGAGCAAUCCGUCGCCUAGAGGAAUGAUUGUCAUAGCGCGAUGUAGCGAUGCAAAGCGCCGUAACAGAAUCCGGCCUAUCGGCCUGCUUCAUUU
RNAcentral lists this RNase P RNA (380 nucleotides) under Affinundibacterium seohonense. RNAcentral describes it as "RNase P RNA component class A". It matches the Rfam family "Bacterial RNase P class A". Rfam says of the family: Ribonuclease P (RNase P) is a ubiquitous endoribonuclease, found in archaea, bacteria and eukarya as well as chloroplasts and mitochondria. Lineage: Bacteria; Pseudomonadati; Pseudomonadota; Betaproteobacteria; Burkholderiales; Oxalobacteraceae. The record is from RNAcentral.